UUUGAUCAAUCAUGUUAAACUCAACAGUGAAAACAUUUUUACACAAUGCACUAGAGAACAAGUUUAUUUACUUUUGAACUUUUUCUACAAACAGAAAUUUCUCGCAAUAUUUAUUAAUAAUUGAAAUCAAACCGAUACGGAAAUAAGUCCACGUGAAACUCAUAUACCAAGGUAAAUUACCGACGGUCAAGAAGUUGCUUUCGACUUCAAGUUCUUCACUAUAUCAUCCCACCUCAGCAAUGAUCAACACCAUUUAGUAACUUCUUCUGAUUUACCCACCUGUCUCCAUCAGUCCAUAUGGUCCCCGUCUUCUUAUCAUGCUCCUUCACGCCUUGUUGCUGCUGACAAACAAACCACAUGUAAAUACCUUACAGUACAUAAUAUAUUUACAACCGCGCUAUGAAUAGAUAACUCCAAAUGUAGCUUUCAGGAUUGGUCAUGCAUUCUCUGUUGUCAUACCAAGAAUGCAUUUUAUAAUUGCACUCAAACUUGUAACUGUAAACAGUUCAGGUAUAGAAAAAAUAAAAGGCAUAUCACAAUAGCCCAACAUAACUUUUUUUUUCGGUUUGCAGGAUGAAAAACUGCUAAUAUGGUACUCCAAAGAGAGGGAAAAAAGUCUGAGCUUGAGUUCUGUGUCGAGUGUGGUUCUCGGACAGAAAACAGUAUGUGGUUUUCUUCCCCAAACACUUAUUAUUAUGAUUCAAGUACACGAAGGCAUACAUAUUCUUAGAAUGUCUGUAUUUGCAGACAAAUCUUUUGCGCUUGCAUUGGCCAGAAAAGGAACAUCACUCCUUGUCAGUCAUAUACAAGAAUGGUGAAUACUCACUGGACUUGGUAUUUCCUACUAGGCCUGGAAUUCUUGAGUUUAGAAUCUCUUUGUUCCUCGUAUAACUGCCUUUUCUAACAUCUAUUUACAAUCAUGUCUUCCCAGAUCUGCAAAGACAAGGACCAAGCUGACUGCUGGUAUCUAGGCCUAACAGCCUUGGUAUCUGCUCUAUAUAGUCCUCUUCUUUUGGUUGAUUCAACAAGCAGCCGUCGGAUAAACAGUUGCACAAAUAGCCCUCCUAGCUAUAUUCAGCAAAGGAAUAGGCUAUUUUCAGUAGAUGACACAAGAAAGUUCACCCAGGUUGGAACCCAUGCAUGUCAUGAUUUCUAUGUGAGAACAUGAUUACUUUGUUCAAGUAUGAGUUUACCAUGACUUGUGACCUUUCCUAGAUUACGCUUAGUAAAACUUUUGGUUUUCUGUUAAUCAGCGGCCACCCACUGCUCAGCUCAGGAAAUUGCGAAAUUAAUAACCAACAUGUUAGGCAGUGUUACAAUUCUGGCCAUUUUGAUAAAUUAUACUUUCCAAAUAUAUAAAUAAUAAUACAAUCAUUAGGUAACACCCAGACUAAUGUAAUGUCAAGUGGGUAAUGAUACACUUUGUGGAGCUGCAUAUUUUUUCAUAACUACUCCCUCCGUACAUCCGUUUGAGAGUCAAGUAAUUCCAUACAGAGGAUGUACUCCCUCUGUAAACUAAUAUAAGAUGUUUUAGGCCACUAAAAUAGUGAUCUAAAAUGUCUUAUAUUAGUUUACAGAGGGAGUACUAAAUAAGCCGAUACAUCUGAUAGCUUAUGAAAGACUGUAAAUUGCCAUGCCUUAGCCACUAGUAUUUUCAAAUUGUUAUAUUCAAUUGAUAGCUUAUGGAAGUAUCUAUUUGUGAAGGUACACUCACUGUAUGGCAGUCCUAGGUUGAUACAGAACAAAGUAUCGAAGAGCAGUCUGGAUUGCUCAGAAGCAUUCGUCACUCCAAGGCAGAGAACAUGGUCAGACCUAGAUUUCUACUUGGAAAGAAUUACUCCUGAAAUGGUAAAUAGAGUUAAAAACAGUUUCAUGGAUAUACCAGUGGCUGCAAAAAUUCAGGAGGGAAUUACCCAAAUGCCUAAACUGAAAGCUUCUGAAGGAUCACACAUGGCAUGUGGAAUAGAUUCUCUGAAGGACAUCUUUGCCUGGGGAGAAGUUCCAGGCAGUGUGUUGGAGAAUGGAGAUGCACCAAAAGAUAAUGUUUCACUUCCAAGGUUAUUGAAGCCAACCCAGAUUCUUGACGUGCAGAACGUCGCCUGUGGAGAGAAACAUGCAGCAAUAGUUACUAAGCAAGGGGAGGUCUUCUCUUGGGGAAAGGAGAGUGGUGGGAUAUUGGGACACAAAGUGAGUGUCAGUGUCUCCGAGCCUACGAUUAUCAAAUCUCUUAGCUCUAUCCCUAUGAAGGCUAUUGCAUUUGGGGCAAAGCACACCUGUGCACUUGCAAUUUCAGGAGAACUUUAUGAGUGGGGUGAAGGGACUCACAGCUUGGGUCUGUGGGAUGAUCAGUGUCAAAGAAGCCAAUGGUUCCCACACAAACUGUUUGAUCCUUUGGAUGGCGUAUCGGUUCUGAAGAUCGCAUGUGGCCAAUGGCACACGGCAAUCAUAUCCUCCUCUGGUCAACUGUUCACAUAUGGCGACGGAACAUUUGGCGUUCUUGGACAUGGCGACACGAUGAGCGUGGCUCGGCCCAAAGAAGUAGAGUCUCUGAAAGGGUUGAGAGCCAAGGCUGUGGCAUGUGGGCCAUGGCACACAGCUGCCAUUGUGGAAAUAUUAGGCACUGUCAAGAGCAAUGCUCCUAGUGGGAAGCUGUUCACUUGGGGUGAUGCAGAUAAAGGAAAGCUGGGUCAUGCUGACAAAAAAUCCAAGCUUGUACCGACUUGUGUCAAGCCACUCAAUGAUUCUGAUUUUGCUCAGGUAUCCUGUGCGAAGGCACUGACAGUCGUGCUUACAAUAACAGGUGUUGUUUUCACCAUUGGAAGCACAUUAGGCAACCGCCGAUUGAGUGACACAUCUAUCUGUUCAGUUGAAGGGCCUCUCAAGACUGAGUUUGUCAGAGAUAUAUCAUCAGGCUCUUCCCAUGUUGCAGUUUUGACAAUGAAUGGAAAGGUGUAUACCUGGGGCAAAGGCACAGAAGGUCAACUUGGUUUAGGUGACUAUACUGACAGGAGCUCCCCAACUCUAGUGGAGUCCUUGGAAGAUAAGCAAGUAGACAGUAUAGCCUGCGGUUCCAAUUUCACUCUUGCCGUUUGUUUACAUAGGUCUAUCUCAGGCAAGGAUCAAUCUGUGUGCAGCAGUUGUCAGUUGUCUUUCACCUUUACAAGGAAGAAGCACAACUGCUACAACUGUGGUUCCAUGUUCUGCAAUUCCUGCAGCAGUAACAAGGUUUCAAGGGCAGCUCUUGGGCCAGAUAGGAGCAAAAGGUACCGUGUUUGCGAUGUGUGUUUCACUCAACUGCAGAAAAUUGAAGGACAUGGCACACUAAGUUCACAAUCAGCAAUCCAAAAGGAGGAGGCAUUUCCAACAGAAAUAAGACCAUAUACACCAAAGUUGUCACGCAUAUUCAAGGAAGCAAAUUCUAUCAUGGAAAAGAUGACAACGGCACAGGGUUCCAAUCAGAGAAAUCAGGACUUGGCUGCACCGGUUCAACUGAAAACACAGAGAUGGGGGCAAGUAGAGUGCCCCAGUCAAUUUAAAUGUGCACGAAACAACAUUCCAUGCUGUUCCAUACCAAAUAAACAGACAGUCGACGUUUCUCUUACACAGAGAAUGCCUGAACCAGUGCCCCCAAAAGGUACCAGCUCUAUGCCAGAAACAGCUACUAAUUUGAAAGCAGAAUUAGAUUCGACAGAGAAUAUAUUACUAGGAGAAGUAAAACAGCUUCAAGCACAGGUAAUUCAUAGAGUAUAACAUUGUUUGCAAUGUCAGAUUUUUUUGUCCUCCUUUUAAAUGAUACAUUAUAUUUUCACUAACUAUUAACUUAUUUUUAUUUGAAAAUGGCAAGCAUUGAUCUUAAUAGUCAUGUUGUUCUCAUCUAAGCAGGUGACCACCCUAGCAGAACAAUGCCGGCAUAGAAGCCUGAAGGUUCAGUUGUACAAACGAAAAGUCGAGGAAACCUGGCUGAUUAUCAUGAAUGAAGCAGCAAAGUGCAAAGCUGCAAAAGAAAUUAUAAAGGUUUUAACCAAUCAGGUAUAACUCUGACCUAUGUCAAUUCCCAACCUAUUCAGAAACUGAGUAUUUAUGUAAAAUAAGUUGUCUGGCGCAAAUUGUGCAGAAGAAUACUUUAUCAAAGAAGAUUGAUUUAGCUGGUGGGCAAUCAUACAACUCCAUAACUAUACCUAGCCAUGGACAACCAGUAAAAGCAGAAUUACCAGACCCACCAGACAAAAACCCUGUCACCGGCAAAUUUCAACAGCUGAGCAGCAUCAGGGAUCACCAUCAGCAAGUGGACAGGGAACGUAUACAGUCUUCAAGCGCAGCUGUGGCGAAAGGCUCAGCCACGCAUAGAAAUGGCAGAAGAGCACCAAGUAACAGCAAUACCUAUGCCGGGGAAAAUGAUGCCACCAUUCCUCCUGUUGAUCCCAAUGGCACGAUCGAGCAAAUCGAGCGCGGGGUGUAUGUGACCGUUGUCACAUCCCCCGGUGGAAACAAAGGCGUCAAGCGCAUCCGGUUCAGGUAACUCCAAAAAGGCCUUUGAUACACACACAUUCCCUAGAUAAUUUACUUGUGUGAUAAUAUGCUCUUUCGAACAAUCCUACAGCCGGAAGCACUUUGGCGAGAAGGAAGCACAAAAAUGGUGGGAAGCGAACGAGAGCAAGGUGUUUGCAAAGUACAGCGGCACGGAACAGGUGACAGAGUAACCAGCUGUGACAACCGACUGACAUUGUAAAUGGCAAUGGAUUCCAAAUACUCCCUCCGUUCACAAAUAUAAGAUGUUCUAACCUUUUUGUGAAUCGGAUGUUUAUAGACACGUUUUAAUGUGUUUGUUCGCUCAUUUCAGUCCGUAUGUAGUCCAUAAUGAAAUAUCCAAAACAUCUUUUUGUGAACCGAUGGAGUAGUAAACACACUGAAAGAUGGUACUGUUCAGUAAUGGCAAUAGAUGGAAUGAUGGAAGCAAAGGAAUCGGGACACCAUUAUUUGGUCCCUGAGAGGCAGUUUGCAGAACUAAAUUGCAACAUUACCACUUGCAUUGUACUCCAUGGUUAACCCCUAUAUGAUGUACAGAGGGUAGGUCUGAGUUGAGUUGGAUUAGGGUUAUGAUGCCUCCUCUUGAGUGAUCCGAUCACUCAGAAGUCAGAACUCGGAUGCAAGUUUGUAGUGUGGAUUCAUUGGCGUUGCCUUCCUGAUCUGAGUCACAUAGUGCGAGAGCAAAAACGUACCGGAACGGCUGGUUUUGAAGCUCCCCCUGCCUGCUAG
Molecule: long non-coding RNA, 5256 nt
Filed under: Triticum aestivum (bread wheat)
Lineage: Eukaryota; Viridiplantae; Streptophyta; Magnoliopsida; Poales; Poaceae
Description: long non-coding RNA (TAES_LNC013512)
Rfam family: MIR1120/MIR1122 microRNA precursor family (bases 1500-1586)
Source: RNAcentral